Anopheles coluzzii is the source of this 2598-nucleotide long non-coding RNA. RefSeq lists it as uncharacterized. Lineage: Eukaryota; Metazoa; Arthropoda; Insecta; Diptera; Culicidae. The transcript is spliced from 2 exons. The record is from RefSeq and is a predicted model, not a curated record.
UAUUUUUUUAAAUUUUCAUAUCAAUUCCUCACUUUCUACGAGCCGCAUAGACAAUUUACGUGAGAUUAGAACUCUUACUCAAAUGAUUUUAAAUUUCAUGCAUAAACAAAUCAUCAAAUCUUUUGUUGAUAUAUCUCAUUUUUUCAAUAAAAUCAAAAGACACACAAAAAUGCACAUAAUAACAAAGAAAUCUGUUCUAUUUGCUAAGCUUUGUGUGCGAAAACCAAUGGUUAACGGUUUUAAAUUGACGUAAAGUCCCUCAACUAUGGCGACCCCCCAAAGGCCCUAAUCCACCACCUGAUAUUUUUAAUCCACCUUGGAUAAAAUCGCAUGCGAAAAAGCGUUGCCACCGCCCUUACCGUAUUAAUACACGAUGCGCAGUAUCAGAUUGCGCAUACAGGCGGUCCCCGAGAUACACGGUACCUCUUAUACGCGGAUUCGGAGAUACGCGGUUUUCUAAAUUUGACAGUUCUUUGAGCAAAUUGUACUGAUUUGACACAUCAAUUGUAUAUUGCCAAAUAAUUUCCAUUUCGAUCGAAUGUUAAAAACUAUUUCAAAAAGUUUAAAACUGUUAUAUUCAGUCAGAAUCAUAUCAAAUAACUCAUAAAGUGACUAAAACCGCCCCCUACUUGCAAAAUUACACGAAAAUUAGUGAAAUUUUAGCUGGAAAUCACGAGGAUUCGACUUACGCGGAAAUUCGAGAUACGCGGUAUUUUGCGGCCGUUUUCGAUCCCCAUUAACCGUGUAUCUCGGGGACCGCCUGUACUUAAAAUUUGUGGUGCUGGCAGGGUAACGGUGAAGGAAAAAAAUCAGGAAAAAUUUACGAUCGUAAUGUAAAGCACAUAAAAAAAUUUUUCAUGCGAAAAGCGGAAGAAGGGUUGACAAGUGGUAGUAGUAGUUCGGAGGAAGUAGCAGGGCUAGUGAAAGAACGACAGGCUAGGCUGAUUAAAAAACCAAAACGAUUAAUCGAAUAUUAAAGAAUUUGUAGCCUUAUUCCUCAAGGGGAGGAUGUGGUAUGUGAGAGUAGCAGUGUGGGUGUGCGGGCAGUAGGAGGUUGGACGGAAUAAAGAGCAGACGUGUGUUACUGUAGUUCCGGUGUUUUCGAUGGAAUAUCACAUCCUCCCCUAAGGAAAUUAUAGAUUUAGCCUUUGAGGCGCUUUCCUUACUCUUGUUGAUCUACGUAAAUAUUCUGUGCUAUCUGUUGGAGUCUCGUUUAGGGGUGUGUCUCUUGUUCGUUGGUUGGUUGUGCUGAUGUUUUGGGGUAUAUUGUUUCUGUUAUUGGAGGGUACAUAUCGAAAGGUAUUCUUUGCUGUGAGUUAAGAUUAUUCUCUUCCCACUGCAAUCCUGGUCCGGGGCUCAACUGAUCUAUAUGUCGUUUCCAUACCCUUCCGUUGUCUAAUUGUACUUUGUAAUGGAGUGUGCCUAUUUUCUCUAAUAUUUUUCCAAACCUCCACUUCUCAUUAUUGGACAUAAAAUCACGGGCUGAUACCCUAUCACCCACAUCAAAUGAUCUAACUGUUCUUUCUCUCUCUUUAUCUGAUGUAUGUUGUUCGGAUCCGGGAAUCAUUAGGUCCAAUUUUGAUAUUAAUUGCCAUAACGGCCAUAGCAGGGCUUUUCCCGGUACUGGGAUGUGCCGUCCUACAAUAUGCCCAUAAGAUAUUUUGUAAAUGUAGGUGUACCUCGGGUCUAGAGCAUGAUAGCGCUUUCAACUUCUGUUUAAAUGUUUGAACAAACCUCUCUGACUGACCGUUUGUUGCCGGAUGGUAUGGAGCACCCAUUCUGUUUAAAAUUCCGUUUUUCUUUACGAACGUUUGAAAACUUUCUGAUGUAAAAUGUGUACCUCUGUCUGACACUAGCAUGGCUGGUAACCCAAAUGUAGCAAAGAAUUCUCUUAAUUUUUCUAUCGUGGUUUCUGUUGUCGUGUCUGAUAUUAUUUUUACUUCCGGCCACUUUGUUCCUGCAUCUAUAAUUAUUAGGAAAUUAAGAGCACUGAUUGACCUAUCCUUGAACGACAGCCAACUCAUUCAUGUGAUGCAGACGACUACGGCAAAAGAAAUGUGGGGCACUGAAGAGCUAUUACGAGCGAUCCUCCCUUUCAAUCCAUCCCAAGCGCCACAGAUUAAGCUCAAAUGACUGGAAAAUUGAAUAUCCAUAGAAAAAAAUGAAAGCUCUACAGCUUCAUUGGUUUGAUCAAUAGAUGGCGUAUUACAUCAUCAUUAUAUUGCUAUCCUUUUCUUGUAAUGUGUUUCGACAAGUUUCAUCUUAUCAUGACCUAUAUAGUCUUCUAACUUUCUGAGCAAAAAUCUAUAUGAAUGGUCGUGUGGUCAGAUACGUGGGUAUCAACACCAACGAUCAUUACUCAAAUCUCACUUGCUUCAGUACUGGUGGUUUCGGUUGGAGUUUAGUAUUUAAACAAUCGUAUCGUCGUUCUAGUUCUAGCGAUGCAUAACUUCAAUGCGAAACCAUACAACAGUACAAAGGAUAUGAGAAAGCUCUCCUCCAAGCGAUGAAGCUCAACUGGUUGGGGUAUGCCACCAACAGAGAGCGCCACCAGCUUUUUCGCUAUUUUUAGAUUGCAUGAGUCGUUUGCCGUCUGCU